RNAcentral lists this ribosomal RNA (253 nucleotides) under uncultured bacterium. Its description in RNAcentral is "partial 16S ribosomal RNA". It matches the Rfam family "Bacterial small subunit ribosomal RNA", at positions 524 to 776 of the family's 1533-position model. The record is from RNAcentral.
UACGAAGGGUGCAAGCGUUACUCGGAAUUACUGGGCGUAAAGCGUGCGUAGGUGGUUUGUUAAGUCUGUUGUGAAAGCCCCGGGCUCAACCUGGGAAUGGCAAUGGAUACUGGCAAGCUAGAGUGCGGUAGAGGGUGGUGGAAUUUCCUGUGUAGCGGUGAAAUGCGUAGAUAUAGGAAGGAACACCAGUGGCGAAGGCGACCACCUGGACUGAUACUGACACUGAGGUGCGAAAGCGUGGGGAGCAAACAGG